RNAcentral lists this unclassified non-coding RNA (218 nucleotides) under Hevea brasiliensis (rubber tree). The record is from RNAcentral. Lineage: Eukaryota; Viridiplantae; Streptophyta; Magnoliopsida; Malpighiales; Euphorbiaceae.
UUUGGGUCUGAUGAUUCAGUUGGGGUGGUAUUAGACGAGGAGGAGGAGGCUUGGGGUUCGCAAUUAUUGUUUGAUAUCUGUUGGUGAUCACCAUUAAAAUUGGGUUGAUGAUCAUACAUAAUGUUGUGACAAGGUGCUGCUGCUCCUGGGUUUUCUUGUUUAUGGAGAGGCUCAUGUGUAACUGGAUCAAUUCCCAUCUUAAUCAGCUUUUUCUUGAU